RNAcentral lists this small RNA (133 nucleotides) under Halopseudomonas yangmingensis. Its description in RNAcentral is "Pseudomon-1/ErsA RNA". It matches the Rfam family "Pseudomon-1/ErsA RNA". Rfam says of the family: Functions to regulate the AlgC enzyme. Based on this information, the new name ErsA for the RNA was adopted. Lineage: Bacteria; Pseudomonadati; Pseudomonadota; Gammaproteobacteria; Pseudomonadales; Pseudomonadaceae. The record is from Rfam by way of RNAcentral.
AAGCUCCUUAGAUGUGAUUUGGUUUAGUGUUGGCAGACAUACCGGGCAUCCCCUCCUAUCCCUGGCACAGCCCGGUAGUUAGACCCCGAACUUUCCCUCCCCAUAUGAAGUUCGGGGUUUUUUUUGCCUGAUU